RNAcentral lists this ribosomal RNA (465 nucleotides) under Vreelandella stevensii. RNAcentral describes it as "partial 16S ribosomal RNA". It matches the Rfam family "Bacterial small subunit ribosomal RNA", at positions 338 to 795 of the family's 1533-position model. Lineage: Bacteria; Pseudomonadati; Pseudomonadota; Gammaproteobacteria; Oceanospirillales; Halomonadaceae. The record is from RNAcentral.
CCUACGGGGGGCAGCAGUGGGGAAUAUUGGACAAUGGGCGAAAGCCUGAUCCAGCCAUGCCGCGUGUGUGAAGAAGGCCUUCGGGUUGUAAAGCACUUUCAGUGGGGAAGAAAGCCUUGGGGCUAAUACCCUCGAGGAAGGACAUCACCCACAGAAGAAGCACCGGCUAACUCCGUGCCAGCAGCCGCGGUAAUACGGAGGGUGCGAGCGUUAAUCGGAAUUACUGUGCGUAAAGCGCGCGUAGGCGGUCUGAUAAGCCGGUUGUGAAAGCCCCGGGCUCAACCUGGGAACGGCAUCCGGAACUGUCAGGCUAGAGUGCAGGAGAGGAAGGUAGAAUUCCCGGUGUAGCGGUGAAAUGCGUAGAGAUCGGGAGGAAUACCAGUGGCGAAGGCGGCCUUCUGGACUGACACUGACGCUGAGGUGCGAAAGCGUGGGUAGCAAACAGGAUUAGAUACCCCAGUAGUC